This 628-nucleotide ribosomal RNA is filed under the name uncultured Russulaceae. Its description in RNAcentral is "LSU rRNA". It matches the Rfam family "Eukaryotic large subunit ribosomal RNA", at positions 47 to 649 of the family's 3401-position model. The record is from RNAcentral. Lineage: Eukaryota; Fungi; Basidiomycota; Agaricomycetes; Russulales; Russulaceae.
UAAGCGGAGGAAAAGAAACUAACAAGGAUUCCCCUAGUAACUGCGAGUGAAGCGGGAAAAGCUCAAAUUUAAAAUCUGGUGGUCUUUGGCCGUCCGAGUUGUAAUUUAGAGAAGCGUCUUCCGCGCUGGACCGUGCACAAGUCUCCUGGAAUGGAGCGUCAUAGAGGGUGAGAAUCCCGUCUUUGGCACGGACACACCAGGGCUUUUGUGAUGCGCUCUCGAAGAGUCGAGUUGUUUGGGAAUGCAGCUCAAAAUGGGUGGUGAACUCCAUCUAAAGCUAAAUAUUGGCGAGAGACCGAUAGCGAACAAGUACCGUGAGGGAAAGAUGAAAAGCACUUUGGAAAGAGAGUGAAACAGUACGUGAAAUUGUUGAAAGGGAAACGCUUGAAGUCAGUCGCGUCGACCGAGACUCAGCUUUGCCUUGGCUUGGUGUACUUCUCGGCUGACGGGUCAGCAUCAAUUUUGCCCCUUGGAUAAUGGUGAGGGAAAUGUGACACCUUUACGGUGUGUUAUAGUCUCUUGUCGCAUGCAAGGGUCGGGAUUGAGGAACUCAGCACGCGCCCUUGGGCGUCGGGGCUUUUGCCCACGAUACGUGCUUAGGAUGUUGGCAUAAUGACUUUAAACGACC